CGGUGAAUACGUUUCCGGGUCUUGUACACACCGCCCGUCACACCACGAGAGUUUGUAACACCCGAAGUCGGUGAGGUAACCUUUUGGAGCCAGCCGCCGAAGGUGGGACAGAUGAUUGGGGUGAAGUCGUAACAAGGUAGCCGUAUCGGAAGGUGCGGCUGGAUCACCUCCUUUCUAAGGAGAAUAGARACGUGACGUAUUUUGGUCAGUUUUGAGAGGUCAACUCUCAACGAUAGAUUGUUCAUUGAAAACUAGAUAACAAGUAAAGCAAGGUUAAACCAUAUAACUCUCAUUUARUGAGAAAACCGAGUAAACGAUCGCUACAACASUGUUAGUGUUGAAAUAACCAAUCAAUGGUUAAGUUAGAAAGGGCGCACGGUG
RNAcentral lists this unclassified non-coding RNA (381 nucleotides) under Bacillus subtilis. Its description in RNAcentral is "partial contains 16S ribosomal RNA, 16S-23S ribosomal RNA intergenic spacer, and 23S ribosomal RNA". The stretch from base 1 to 174 matches the Rfam family "Bacterial small subunit ribosomal RNA", at positions 1360 to 1533 of the family's 1533-position model. The record is from RNAcentral. Lineage: Bacteria; Bacillati; Bacillota; Bacilli; Caryophanales; Bacillaceae.